GGUUAAGCGACUAAGCGUACACGGUGGAUGCCCUGGCAGUCAGAGGCGAUGAAGGACGUGCUAAUCUGCGAAAAGCGCCGGCGAGGUGAUAUGAACCUUUGACCCGGCGAUGUCCGAAUGGGGAAACCCAGUGCAAUCCGUUGCACUAUCGUUAACUGAAUACAUAGGUUAACGAGGCGAACC
RNAcentral lists this ribosomal RNA (183 nucleotides) under Enterobacter hormaechei. RNAcentral describes it as "partial 23S ribosomal RNA". It matches the Rfam family "Bacterial large subunit ribosomal RNA", at positions 1 to 185 of the family's 2925-position model. Lineage: Bacteria; Pseudomonadati; Pseudomonadota; Gammaproteobacteria; Enterobacterales; Enterobacteriaceae. The record is from RNAcentral.